UAGGGAAUCUUCCACAAUGGACGAAAGUCUGAUGGAGCAACGCCGCGUGAGUGAAGAAGGGUUUCGGCUCGUAAAACUCUGUUGUUAAAGAAGAACAUAUCUGAGAGUAACUGUUCAGGUAUUGACGGUAUUUAACCAGAAAGCCACGGCUAACUACGUGUCCAG
RNAcentral lists this ribosomal RNA (165 nucleotides) under uncultured bacterium. Its description in RNAcentral is "partial 16S ribosomal RNA". It matches the Rfam family "Bacterial small subunit ribosomal RNA", at positions 355 to 511 of the family's 1533-position model. The record is from RNAcentral.